AAGGAUAAUCGGAGCGUUACAGGGGCUUAAGUGCCAAUUUAGUUUGUUUUAAAGUUUUGUUUAGUUUUGAGUGCGCGAGUGCACGAAAAGACACCAGCGUAUGGGGGAUUAGCUCAGCUGGGAGAGCACCUGCUUUGCAAGCAGGGGGUCAACGGUUCGAUCCCGUUAUUCUCCAUUACCUGGUAUUGUCUGAGAAGAGAAUACUAGGUAGCUUGUACAUUGAAAACUGAAUAAUCAAGAAAUUCUUUUAAAAUGAUUCAGAGGUGAAUCAUCUAAAUGAACCGAGAAACAACACAAGUUCUUUAACAAGAACGGUUUAAUCGCAGGUCUGAAAAAUGACCAACUCAUAAAACUGAUCCAACUUUAAAAGUUGU
RNAcentral lists this transfer RNA (374 nucleotides) under Fructobacillus ficulneus. The stretch from base 103 to 175 matches the Rfam family "tRNA". Lineage: Bacteria; Bacillati; Bacillota; Bacilli; Lactobacillales; Lactobacillaceae. The record is from RNAcentral.